Molecule: non-coding RNA, 466 nt
Organism: Xyrichtys novacula (pearly razorfish)
Lineage: Eukaryota; Metazoa; Chordata; Actinopteri; Labriformes; Labridae
Source: the annotation of a GenBank genome assembly
GAUCAAGUGCUGGGAAGCUGGUUGAUCUUUACCCUUCCUCCUGCUCCUCUCCACAUCCAGAAGCAAGGGCUGGACUUUAUAGCCCCACACUGGCUUGUAAAGUGAGUCACAGGAUUUUCCCUUGUGGGACUGUGAGAAUGUACUGUAGUACCCUCAGAGGAAUGUGAAAAUGAACUCCAUUUUAUUUUCCAGGGCAGCAAUUGAUGGGAAAGAAUCAACUGCAGGCCCUCCAGCUCCUCAAUGGCGGUCUGAAUCACUGCAGUAAUCUGGAGUCUUGCAGGUUUAUUAUAUUGAUGUUUCACAGCUUUUCUGUGCCUUCUUAUUCUGGAGAGGCGGUUUGAUCAGUCUGUGACACAUAUCCAUCCAUCUUGAAUGCUUUUUAAAAGUUGUGAGACCUUAGACAGAGAUGUUUGUGUGGUUUUAUGCGCCACAAAGCUCUUAAAUUUCACUCUGGAGCGCCUGAAAG